Molecule: ribosomal RNA, 577 nt
Filed under: uncultured Actinomycetes bacterium
Lineage: Bacteria; Bacillati; Actinomycetota; Actinomycetes
Description: bacterial SSU rRNA
Rfam family: Bacterial small subunit ribosomal RNA
Source: RNAcentral
ACGUUCUCUGCGCCGCAGCUAACGCAUUAAGCGUCCCGCCUGGGGAGUACGACCGCAAGGUUAAAACUCAAAGGAAUUGACGGGGGCCCGCACAAGCAGCGGAGCAUGCGGCUUAAUUCGAUGCAACGCGAAGAACCUUACCUAGGCUUGACAUGCAUUGAAAACUGUUAGAGAUAACAGGUCCGCAAGGGCUUUGCACAGGUGGUGCAUGGCUGUCGUCAGCCCGUGUCGUGAGAUGUUGGGUUAAGUCCCGCAACGAGCGCAACCCUCGUCUUGUGUUGCCAACAGGUAAUGCUGGGAACUCACAAGAGACUGCCGGGGUCAACUCGGAGGAAGGUGGGGACGACGUCAAGUCAUCAUGCCCCUUAUGUCUAGGGCUGCACGCAUGCUACAAUGGCCGAUACAAAGGGCUGCGAUACCGCAAGGUGGAGCGAAUCCCAUAAAGUCGGUCUCAGUUCGGAUUGAGGUCUGCAACUCGACCUCAUGAAGUUGGAGUUGCUAGUAAUCGCGGAUCAGCAACGCCGCGGUGAAUACGUUCCCGGGCCUUGUACACACCGCCCGUCAUGUCACGAAAGUC